This 1343-nucleotide long non-coding RNA is filed under the name Homo sapiens (human). RNAcentral describes it as "HSALNT0321234". Lineage: Eukaryota; Metazoa; Chordata; Mammalia; Primates; Hominidae. The record is from RNAcentral.
UUAGGUUUGAAGCACUUUUACAUGCAUGCAUUGAAAAAUAUUGAAUAUAAAUAGCACUGAAUAUAAAUAGCCCUAUAAAUAGCAUUUGUGAAAAACACAGAAAAGACCCUGGUCUCAAAAAGUUUACUUUGCAUUUGCAAAAGGGUUAGUAGGAAAUAAAUAAAGGAACAAAAUCAUUUCAGGGAAUUAUAAGUGCUAUGAAAAAUAAAGUACACUGAGGAAGUAGAACGAUGUAGGCAUGGUGAGGCUAAUUCAGAUGGAGUGAUCAGAAAGUCCCAUUGAUACUUAACACUUCAGCUCCAUGACAAGGACACAAGUAUGAAAAGGUCUGGGGUCCGAAUUUGGGUAAAGACUAUGACACGUGUCAAGGUGGUGGCACAGGAAUAAGCUUGACGUGUUCAGAGAAGCCACAGCAGCUCAGGGGCAGCAAGCAAAGGGGAAAAUGGAAGGGGAUGAACUCCAAGAUAGGGGAAAGAAUUACACUUUUAUGGCAUGAGAGGCUAUGGGGCUAUCCAUUUCUGUGACAUAUCUCCAAACUUAGUGGCUUAAAACAAACAUCUUAUUUUGCUCACAAUUUGGAGUUCAGCGAUAUGGGAAAGUUCUUCUGGACAUUUAUCUCUGAUGCGGGUAGUAUUACUGGGGCAGCUAAAGCUGCAAAACUAGGUGAUUUCAUUCAAUGUCUGUUCCCUUGGUGCUCUUUGUUCACAUGGCAUCUCCUAUUCUAGGGCCUCUCCACAUGGCGUGCUCUUCUCACAAGUUGGCAUCAUGGCGGUCUCGUGGCUGUCUCUAACUACUGUUAGACUUAUGUGAUGACUGGUUUCCCCCAGAGCAGGCCUUGAUCCAAGCUCCACGCCUUCUUAUGACCUCUCCUGGAAGUCUCAGAACAUCACUCCUGCCACUUUGCCCUUUUUGGUUAAUCAUACAAGGCAUUAAGGCCAGCCCACAUUCAAAGGGAAGAAAGUCAGACACUUCUCUUUUCUAUGGGAAUGUCACAGAAUCUGUGGCCAUCUUGAACCUGCCUCAGAGGCCAUGGUAGAGUCCUUUUACUGCCACUGCUGUGAACCACAUCAUUCAGUAUGCAGCACUUCGAAUUUUGCCAAAGUAAUCAUGAUGUAUGAAAACUCGCAACGUGACAUCACGAAUUCUGUUAAAGACAUGACCAUCUCAUUUCCUGCCAGGUCUGGACCCUCAAUUCCUUCACUUGAAUGUGAGUCAGCCUCAUGAGGACAGUUGCAUUUGCCUCCCGCCUAUUCUCAUGCCUAUGAUCACUCCUUUCACAACUAUUAACUCAUCUCACACAGCCUCUCUGCAUAGUACAAUUCUGAAAUAAAAUUUGAUUGUGU